Dipodomys ordii (Ord's kangaroo rat) is the source of this 70-nucleotide non-coding RNA. The record is from Rfam. NCBI's taxonomy places the organism in Eukaryota, Metazoa, Chordata, Mammalia, Rodentia, Heteromyidae.
GGGAAUGUGGCUCAAUGGUAGAGUUCUUGUUUCACAUGCAUGAGGCCCUGGGUUCAAUUCCUCAGCACCA